Molecule: non-coding RNA, 1973 nt
Organism: Maylandia zebra (zebra mbuna)
Lineage: Eukaryota; Metazoa; Chordata; Actinopteri; Cichliformes; Cichlidae
Source: RefSeq, a predicted model, not a curated record
CGCUAGCAGUUCCUCUGUCCUUUAUAUUGCCCGUCUGCUUUUCCAGACUUUUCCAUCCCCCGCAUCUCCGUACAGUGCAACGGCAGAUCAGAGUAAAUGCAACGCAACAAAAGUUUACAGUGCCAGACCUUCGCAUUAACAGGUCAAUGUGAGUUCAUAUUAAAACAAGCAUCCAAUACUUUAAUAUUACAGCUAUAAGGCAAACAGUACAGGUUAAACCCACAAUACCGUUGUUGUUGUUGUUGUUGUUGUUGUUCUUAAAGGAAACUAUGCCCUAUAACUCUGAAUUUAUCCAAUUUAUUAACUGACUUUAAAACCGCAAGUAUCGCAGUUGAAUUCAGAGAACUAAAGCUGCAUUUACUGCAUUAAUUCAAGCAAGAAGGCAUUCAUUUCCGGACAUUAUUCAUUUUUAUAACUUUAUUCCGCUAUUGUCACACUGGGCAGGUGCCACGUGUAGAAUGGGCAGCUGUCCCACUUUUUAUCCAACUGCGCAGUGAGACCAUUAUUAUUACUGUUGUUGUCAUCGUCGUCAUUGUUAUUCUCUGUCCCACAUGUUGAGAUAAUCUCCCAAAUUUUGCUGUAGUUUGCAAAGGUCAGAAGUGCAGAACAGACACUUUUCUAAUGCAAAUGAAGAAAGUAAGGCUGAGAUCAUGACUGAAGUUUAGGCGAACAAUGCUGCCUAUGCUAUACCCAACAAGGAAAGCUGUAUAUAGAUAUUGUUAUAUUCCCUCUGUGUGGCUCCAAAAGAAGUGUUCUAUGUAUAUCUCUGACUGUAACCCCAGUAAAAUACAGUAAAAUCAAAUGUAUUUAUAUUUGCAACAUAUCCUUCACAAAUUCCAGUGUCUUUGUUCCACAUUAAGUUUGUUUGGAUUUGGUCACACUUGCCACAUGUGAUUACAAUUAACAGCAUUUUUCUUAUACAGAAAAUCUUUUUGUUUUACAAAUAGUUAACUUUAUUCACUCUUUCUCUUGUCUUGUUUUUCUUCUCUGGCUUUCCUCUUUUUUUUUCCUUUCUGUAAAUCUGUGUGUGUGAUUGACUGCGUGUGCACCUCCUCUCCCAGUUCAGUCCAGUGUUCCAUACUGGGUUUGUGUGCAGGCUGAGGAGGCAGAUCAAAGCAGUGCUGUUACCCAUUCCACCCUCAGCUUCAGCGCGGCUGUGUGGUGGAAGAAGUCCCUGCUACAGAUAAGCCAAACAACCUGUGUGGCCCAGUGCUAGGACCACUGACUGCACACAGUUUCAUAUUUGUAAAUUUGUUAAAGUUUUGUGAGAAAGCAGGCAAUAUGUCUGCGCUUGUGUGGGUGAGGGUUUUUUUGCAUGCUUGUUUCUUUGAUCUGUCAUGUCAAAACCAGAUAAGGGUGUGUUUGCCAUUAAACAGUUGGCAGCUGGUGGCCUAGAAACUGAAACUGGUGCCUAAACUCACAGUUGUUUUGUUUUGCUCACUUUCUGCUCGUCAAGGUCCUCUGUGUGUGUUACCUGCCAAAAGAUGGCGCUAAACGAUAGGAAGACAGAAGCUGACGUCAUCAGUCGUUGAAGGUCAACAGAUAAGCUGUGGGAAACUGUCACUGCAAAUCAGUCCUGUUAACAGCUAUAAUAAACACGACAGUCAAAAAGGGUGAUUUUAAGACAUUUUCUCAGGUGAAACACUACAAUAAGCUGCACCUGCUUUUACUGCAUUGAAGUUUUUACUGAUUUCAGUGGAGCACAGCUGAAAUUAGCAUAAAAAGUCAAAAGAUUAUGCAAGUGUCCUAAACUGUGUAAUGAUUUAUCAGGUGUUUCAACUUUGUACAGAUUUUUUGUUUGUAAAUAGAAAGAAAAUUAUUUUUGUAUUACAUUUCAAAUAAUAAGAAGCACAGAUCAAAUGUUUUAUACACUUUGAACAAGGUUUACUGUUCGGCUUUAAGCAAGGAAAAUACAGAGUUGUUGUCUGAAUGUGAUACACACUGAAUUAAAGUUAUCAUUUUUUCCACUUUAA